GGGUUGUGAGGUUAAGCGACUAAGCGUACACGGUGGAUGCCCUGGCAGUCAGAGGCGAUGAAGGACGUGCUAAUCUGCGAUAAGCGUCGGUAAGGUGAUAUGAACCGUUAUAACCGGCGAUUUCCGAAUGGGGAAACCCAGUGUGAUUCGUCACACUAUCAUUAACUGAAUCCAUAGGUUAAUGAGGCGAACCGGGGGAACUGAAACAUCUAAGUACCCCGAGGAAAAGAAAUCAACCGAGAUUCCCCCAGUAGCGGCGAGCGAACGGGGAGGAGCCCAGAGCCUGAAUCAGUGUGUGUGUUAGUGGAAGCGUCUGGAAAGGCGCGCGAUACAGGGUGACAGCCCCGUACACAAAAAUGCACAUGCUGUGAGCUCGAUGAGUAGGGCGGGACACGUGGUAUCCUGUCUGAAUAUGGGGGGACCAUCCUCCAAGGCUAAAUACUCCUGACUGACCGAUAGUGAACCAGUACCGUGAGGGAAAGGCGAAAAGAACCCCGGCGAGGGGAGUGAAAAAGAACCUGAAACCGUGUACGUACAAGCAGUGGGAGCACGCUUAGGCGUGUGACUGCGUACCUUUUGUAUAAUGGGUCAGCGACUUAUAUUCUGUAGCAAGGUUAACCGAAUAGGGGAGCCGAAGGGAAACCGAGUCUUAACUGGGCGUUAAGUUGCAGGGUAUAGACCCGAAACCCGGUGAUCUAGCCAUGGGCAGGUUGAAGGUUGGGUAACACUAACUGGAGGACCGAACCGACUAAUGUUGAAAAAUUAGCGGAUGACUUGUGGCUGGGGGUGAAAGGCCAAUCAAACCGGGAGAUAGCUGGUUCUCCCCGAAAGCUAUUUAGGUAGCGCCUCGUGAAUUCAUCUCCGGGGGUAGAGCACUGUUUCGGCAAGGGGGUCAUCCCGACUUACCAACCCGAUGCAAACUGCGAAUACCGGAGAAUGUUAUCACGGGAGACACACGGCGGGUGCUAACGUCCGUCGUGAAGAGGGAAACAACCCAGACCGCCAGCUAAGGUCCCAAAGUCAUGGUUAAGUGGGAAACGAUGUGGGAAGGCCCAGACAGCCAGGAUGUUGGCUUAGAAGCAGCCAUCAUUUAAAGAAAGCGUAAUAGCUCACUGGUCGAGUCGGCCUGCGCGGAAGAUGUAACGGGGCUAAACCAUGCACCGAAGCUGCGGCAGCGACGCUGAUGCGUUGUUGGGUAGGGGAGCGUUCUGUAAGCCUGUGAAGGUGUGCUGUGAGGCAUGCUGGAGGUAUCAGAAGUGCGAAUGCUGACAUAAGUAACGAUAAAGCGGGUGAAAAGCCCGCUCGCCGGAAGACCAAGGGUUCCUGUCCAACGUUAAUCGGGGCAGGGUGAGUCGACCCCUAAGGCGAGGCCGAAAGGCGUAGUCGAUGGGAAACAGGUUAAUAUUCCUGUACUUGGUGUUACUGCGAAGGGGGGACGGAGAAGGCUAUGUUGGCCGGGCGACGGUUGUCCCGGUUUAAGCGUGUAGGCUGGUUUUCCAGGCAAAUCCGGAAAAUCAAGGCUGAGGCGUGAUGACGAGGCACUACGGUGCUGAAGCAACAAAUGCCCUGCUUCCAGGAAAAGCCUCUAAGCAUCAGGUAACAUCAAAUCGUACCCCAAACCGACACAGGUGGUCAGGUAGAGAAUACCAAGGCGCUUGAGAGAACUCGGGUGAAGGAACUAGGCAAAAUGGUGCCGUAACUUCGGGAGAAGGCACGCUGAUAUGUAGGUGAAGUCCCUCGCGGAUGGAGCUGAAAUCAGUCGAAGAUACCAGCUGGCUGCAACUGUUUAUUAAAAACACAGCACUGUGCAAACACGAAAGUGGACGUAUACGGUGUGACGCCUGCCCGGUGCCGGAAGGUUAAUUGAUGGGGUCAGCGCAAGCGAAGCUCUUGAUCGAAGCCCCGGUAAACGGCGGCCGUAACUAUAACGGUCCUAAGGUAGCGAAAUUCCUUGUCGGGUAAGUUCCGACCUGCACGAAUGGCGUAAUGAUGGCCAGGCUGUCUCCACCCGAGACUCAGUGAAAUUGAACUCGCUGUGAAGAUGCAGUGUACCCGCGGCAAGACGGAAAGACCCCGUGAACCUUUACUAUAGCUUGACACUGAACAUUGAGCCUUGAUGUGUAGGAUAGGUGGGAGGCUUAGAAGUGUGGACGCCAGUCUGCAUGGAGCCGACCUUGAAAUACCACCCUUUAAUGUUUGAUGUUCUAACGUUGACCCGUAAUCCGGGUUGCGGACAGUGUCUGGUGGGUAGUUUGACUGGGGCGGUCUCCUCCUAAAGAGUAACGGAGGAGCACGAAGGUUGGCUAAUCCUGGUCGGACAUCAGGAGGUUAGUGCAAUGGCAUAAGCCAGCUUGACUGCGAGCGUGACGGCGCGAGCAGGUGCGAAAGCAGGUCAUAGUGAUCCGGUGGUUCUGAAUGGAAGGGCCAUCGCUCAACGGAUAAAAGGUACUCCGGGGAUAACAGGCUGAUACCGCCCAAGAGUUCAUAUCGACGGCGGUGUUUGGCACCUCGAUGUCGGCUCAUCACAUCCUGGGGCUGAAGUAGGUCCCAAGGGUAUGGCUGUUCGCCAUUUAAAGUGGUACGCGAGCUGGGUUUAGAACGUCGUGAGACAGUUCGGUCCCUAUCUGCCGUGGGCGCUGGAGAACUGAGGGGGGCUGCUCCUAGUACGAGAGGACCGGAGUGGACGCAUCACUGGUGUUCGGGUUGUCAUGCCAAUGGCACUGCCCGGUAGCUAAAUGCGGAAGAGAUAAGUGCUGAAAGCAUCUAAGCACGAAACUUGCCCCGAGAUGAGUUCUCCCUGACUCCUUGAGAGUCCUGAAGGAACGUUGAAGACGACGACGUUGAUAGGCCGGGUGUGUAAGCGCAGCGAUGCGUUGAGCUAACCGGUACUAAUGAACCGUGAGGCUUAACCUUACAACGCCGAAG
Molecule: ribosomal RNA, 2925 nt
Filed under: Escherichia coli
Lineage: Bacteria; Pseudomonadati; Pseudomonadota; Gammaproteobacteria; Enterobacterales; Enterobacteriaceae
Description: bacterial LSU rRNA
Rfam family: Bacterial large subunit ribosomal RNA
Source: RNAcentral